CGACUACUGCACAGCCAAUAUUGACAUCCCGUCCAUUAAUGAAGGAGCUUGAUGAAAUGGAAAAGAUAAAUGCAAAACUCUCUGCUGCAGUUGAAGAGGUCACCCUCGAACACUGUAAAAAGAAUGAGAUUGUAAAACAUCAUUCACAGGAGGUUGGACUUCAACGCCGUGUUUUUGUUGACUUCUUCUGCAAUCCUGAACGUUUGAGGAGCCAAGUUAGAGAAUUGACUGCAAGAGUUAGAGCUUUGCAAGUUUCAUAACCCAUUCAUUCACAUAUGCACUCCAAUUCUUUUGCUUCCUUUUUCUCUCCCGACCAACCACAAAGGGGGGAAAUGCACAAAGAGACUACUGAAUCA
This 356-nucleotide unclassified non-coding RNA is filed under the name Hevea brasiliensis (rubber tree). Lineage: Eukaryota; Viridiplantae; Streptophyta; Magnoliopsida; Malpighiales; Euphorbiaceae. The record is from RNAcentral.